GUGCCAAAUGUGGAAAAAGGACCCAAAAUGGAGCUUCCGGAGACGUCGGGGAUGGCUCCCAUCUGGAACAACCUGAACUUCCCCAUGGAUCAUCAGAGGAGCCUGGAGAUUCCUGGAUUUGGGAAUUUUUCCUUACCCACAUCCUCUCCAGAGCCUUUCCAGCUCCCGGAGCUGGAUCAACCUGUUCCUGAUGUUCAAAAUUCCUGUGGCCUCUUCUGGGACAAACAUGGGAUUCUCCAGCACAGGAUAAGAACAGGAUAAGAUAAUUUAGGAUUUCAGGGCUGGUGCCUCUGGAAAACCGGGAAAACCUCACUUUUGGCAUGAUUAAAUCUGGAAAUUUUGGUCACUGUGUCAGCUGGAUCAGGGAGCAACCUGUUCCUGAGGCUUGGAAUUCCCUGGCAUCUCCUGGGACAAAUCUGGGACUCUCCAGCUUCAGCACUGGGGUUUUUGGACUUUUCGCUUUCCGGUGUUUCUCCAUGGAGAGCAGCGUGGGCACCUUGAUUUAUUUUUCCACCAGGAUCUGGGAUCCAGAUCUUUGUGGCAUUUCAAGAAUUCCAUCCCUGUGGCACUGA
This 572-nucleotide long non-coding RNA is filed under the name Chloebia gouldiae (Gouldian finch). RNAcentral's name for it is "Erythrura gouldiae (Gouldian finch) lncRNA (ENSEGOG00005003091.1)". The record is from RNAcentral. Lineage: Eukaryota; Metazoa; Chordata; Aves; Passeriformes; Passeridae.